This 509-nucleotide ribosomal RNA is filed under the name uncultured bacterium. RNAcentral describes it as "bacterial SSU rRNA". It matches the Rfam family "Bacterial small subunit ribosomal RNA", at positions 30 to 518 of the family's 1533-position model. The record is from RNAcentral.
CGAACGCUGGCGGCGUGCUUAACACAUGCAAGUCGAACGCGAAAGGGACUCGGGUCCUGAGUAAAGUGGCGCACGGGUGAGUAACGCGUAGAUAACCUGUCUUCAUGUCUGGAAUAAUACGCCGAAAGGGGUACUAAUACCGGAUAUUCUUGCUUUUCAUAAGUUAUGCAAGCAAAGGUGGCCUCUGCAUAUGCUACUGCAUGAAGAGGGGUCUGCGUACCAUUAGCUAGUAGGUGGGGUAAUGGCCUACCUAGGCGACGAUGGUUAGCGGGUCUGAGAGGAUGAUCCGCCACACUGGCACUGGAACACGGGCCAGACUCCUACGGGAGGCAGCAGUGAGGAAUAUUGCGCAAGGGGGGAAACCCUGACGCAGCGACGCCGCGUGAGUGAGGAAAGGCCUUCGGGUCGUAAAGCUCUGUCAAGAGGAAAGAAGUGUACAAUGGCUAAUACCUGUUGUAUUUGACGGUACCUCUAAAGGAAGCACCGGCUAACUCCGUGCCAGCAGCUGC